Molecule: ribosomal RNA, 811 nt
Filed under: uncultured Veillonellaceae bacterium
Lineage: Bacteria; Bacillati; Bacillota; Negativicutes; Veillonellales; Veillonellaceae
Description: bacterial SSU rRNA
Rfam family: Bacterial small subunit ribosomal RNA
Source: RNAcentral
GACGAACGCUGGCGGCGUGCUUAACACAUGCAAGUCGAACGGACUGAUGUCCAACACCGAGAACUUUUUAAGGUGAAGGACGACAGCGCAUACGGUUGCGAAGCAACCGUUACGCCCAAAUAGUUUAACACCGCAAAGAGUCAUCGGUGUUGGGCAUCAGUUAGUGGCGAACGGGUGAGUAACGCGUAGACAACCUACCUUCUAGCUGGGGACAACACCGCGAAAGUGGUGCUAAUACCGAAUGUUGUACUUUGGGUGCAUACUCGAAGUACUAAAGGUGGCCUCUGAAUAUGCUACCGCUAGAAGACGGGUCUGCGUCUGAUUAGCUAGUUGGCGGGGUAACGGCCCACCAAGGCGACGAUCAGUAGCCGGUCUGAGAGGAUGAACGGCCACACUGGGACUGAGACACGGCCCAGACUCCUACGGGAGGCAGCAGUGGGGAAUCUUCCGCAAUGGACGAAAGUCUGACGGAGCAACGCCGCGUGAGUGAAGAAGGCCUUCGGGUUGUAAAGCUCUGUUAUCGAGGAAGAACACUUUCUAUGUGAACAAUGUAGAGAGUUGACGGUACUCGAGGAGGAAGCCACGGCUAACUACGUGCCAGCAGCCGCGGUAAUACGUAGGUGGCGAGCGUUGUCCGGAAUUAUUGGGCGUAAAGAGCGCGUAGGCGGGAUAUUAAGUCUACUCUAAAAGUGCGGGGCUCAACCCCGUAAUGGGGUGGAAACUAAUAUUCUUGAGUGCCGGAGAGGAAAGCGGAAUUCCCAGUGUAGCGGUGAAAUGCGUAGAUAUUGGGAGGAACACCAGUGGCGAAGCG